CUGGAGAGCCACUGAGUGAGGAGGCCACAACAGAGCCCUGAUGAACCAUCUAGGAGCACAUUGCUGAAGGCCCUACCAUCCCUUUUACGUAUUUUAUCUUAUGCACACACAGAUUUACUCUUCAAUUACAAUGUCAAUGUUGUGAUUUAUUCAUGCUGCAAUUUCAGGCCCCAGGACAAGCAUUAGGAUCACAGUGAUUACCUUACCUGGAGACCCACUCGGGAGCCCUGGAGCCUCAGGAAUAAGGGGGAGAAGACUGAAGGAGACUAGCCCGGGCAACACCAAAUCCAACUGGAAGCCACGGAGGCAAAGGCUUCGGUCUCGUGGGCACCGGUCCCACCUAGGGAUGAACUCAGCUGUGAGCCAGACCUGGGUCACCAAUGCCAAGACACUGAGGCUCUCUAUAUGGUGACCUUCUUAUGACCUUGGCCGUGUCCUGGGGGAGGAUUGCUGUUUUGCUCUUGUGACUACUCUUGGGGUCCGCUGAACUGGAACCUAAAAGCCAGGAGCUGAGAAAAGCCUGGGGGCGAGGCUUUAAAAUCGCAUUGCCAACUCUGCACUGAUGGAUAAAGGUUCACUGUCAGGCUGAUGUCCCCGGUGUUGGCUGAACAGUUUCCGCAGCACUAUGCUUUGCAUCAUUGCGCCUUAGCAGUUGAGAUGGAAAAAGACUUCUCUCUCCUGGACCAUCAAUACAAGUCUUGGCUUCCCUUUUAAGAGACCAGCUGGAGUCAUUCAUCUACUCCUAAACUAAUCAGUGUUACUAAUCACUAAUUAAUGAUUCAUGACACAUUGAUUUCUGUAUCAAUCACUGUGACAAAGAGGAUGAAACUGUAUCAACUGUCUUAAUAAAAAUAACCAGGUGUGUGUGGGAAUGGUACCACCCAAACCAGAGGGCUCCUCCCCAGUGGUGGGCUGGAUGUUUGGGAGGCAACCAUGAGGAUCACCUCUCAAAUUCUCAUUCCAUGUGUUGGGUACUACAUCGUAUAGCAUCCCCCCAAAAAUCACAUGUCUAUAAAUAUGAUCUUAUUUGGAAAUAGGGUCUUUGUACAUAUAAUCAAGUUAAAAUGAGGUUAUAAUGGAUUAGGAUGGGCCCUAACCCAAUGACUGGUGUCCUUACAAGAAGAAGGAAAUUGGAGACAGACACACAGAGAGAAUGCCAUGUGACGAUGGAGGCAGAGAUUUGAGUGAUGCAUCUACAAGCCAAGGAGCAGCAAGGACUGCCGGCAACACCAGAGGCCAGGAGAGAAGCACAGAAUGAAUUCUCCCUUGGAGCCUCCAGACUGUGAAAGGAUACAUUUUGGAUGUUUUCAGCAGUCCAGUUUGUGGUGCUUAGUUAUGGCAGCUGUCGGAAAUGAACAUGUGCUACAACCGGGAGACUGAGUCCUGCACAGGUCUGGAAACCCUCUGUUUUCCAACAUGAAAAGGAACCUAUUCUUGAUUUCUAAUAAGUAUGCAGAUUUGUCCCAUUUAUGUGCUUUGAUGGACAUUUUUAGAAUUGGGAACUGUAGAGCUGGAAGCAGAUUUGGAACCUAUUGUCCUUUAUUUCUGUGAGUCUUUUGCUCUGGAAAAAUGCAUUCAAAGAAAACAAAGAUGGAAAAUGUUGAUUGCAAUGCUCACAGGAUGGCUUCCUUUCCCUUGAAGUUGUGACAUGUUUCUGUGCCUGUGUCCAUGCAUGUGUGGUUAUGUGAAGGUGUGAGAAAGGGAGAGGUUGGC
Molecule: long non-coding RNA, 1713 nt
Filed under: Homo sapiens (human)
Lineage: Eukaryota; Metazoa; Chordata; Mammalia; Primates; Hominidae
Description: HSALNT0048896
Source: RNAcentral